Molecule: ribosomal RNA, 467 nt
Filed under: uncultured bacterium
Lineage: Bacteria
Description: partial 16S ribosomal RNA
Rfam family: Bacterial small subunit ribosomal RNA
Source: RNAcentral
GAUGAACGCUGGCGGCGUGCUUAACACAUGCAAGUCGAACGGAAAGGCCUCUGCUUGCAGGGGUACUCGAGUGGCGAACGGGUGAGUAACACGUGGGUGAUCUGCCCUGCACUUCGGGAUAAGCCUGGGAAACUGGGUCUAAUACCGGAUAGGAGAAUGGUUUGGAUGCUGUUGUGGAAAGUUUUUCGGUGUGGGAUGAGCUCGCGGCCUAUCAGCUGGUUGGUGGGGUAAUGGCCUACCAAGGCGUCGACGGGUAGCCGGCCUGAGAGCGGGUACGGCCACACUGUGACUGAGAGACGGCCCACAGUCCUGCGUGGGGCGGAAGUGGGGAAUAUUGUACAAUGGGCGCAGGCCUGAUGCAGCGACGCGGCGUGGGGGGUGACGGCCUUCGGGUUGUAAACUCCUUUCGCUAGGGACGAAGCGUGUUUGUGACGGUACCUGGAGAAGAAGCACCGGCUAACUACGUG